GGGAUUAGCUAGUAGGUAGGGUAAUGGCUUACCUAGGCGACGAUCCCUAGCUGGUCUGAGAGGAUGACCAGCCACACUGGAACUGAGACACGGUCCAGACUCCUACGGGAGGCAGCAGUGGGGAAUAUUGCACAAUGGGCGCAAGCCUGAUGCAGCCAUGCCGCGUGUAUGAAGAAGGCCUUCGGGUUGUAAAGUACUUUCAGUCAGGAGGAAGGGUGUGAAAUUAAUACUUUCAUGCAUUGACGUUACUGACAGAAGAAGCACCGGCUAACUCCGUGCCAGCAGCCGCGGUAAUACGGAGGGUGCAAGCGUUAAUCGGAAUUACUGGGCGUAAAGCGCACGCAGGCGGUUUGUUAAGUCAGAUGUGAAAUCCCCGGGCUCAACCUGGGAACUGCAUUUGAAACUGGNAAGCUU
RNAcentral lists this ribosomal RNA (414 nucleotides) under Pantoea sp. SR2-2-f. Its description in RNAcentral is "bacterial SSU rRNA". It matches the Rfam family "Bacterial small subunit ribosomal RNA", at positions 237 to 643 of the family's 1533-position model. The record is from RNAcentral. Lineage: Bacteria; Pseudomonadati; Pseudomonadota; Gammaproteobacteria; Enterobacterales; Erwiniaceae.